This 393-nucleotide ribosomal RNA is filed under the name uncultured bacterium. RNAcentral's name for it is "partial 16S ribosomal RNA". It matches the Rfam family "Bacterial small subunit ribosomal RNA", at positions 523 to 918 of the family's 1533-position model. The record is from RNAcentral.
AUACGGAGGAUCCGAGCGUUAUCCGGAUUUAUUGGGUUUAAAGGGAGCGUAGGCGGGAGAUCAAGUCAGCUGUGAAAUGUAGAUGCUCAACAUCUGCACUGCAGUUGAAACUGGUUUUCUUGAGUGCGUAAGGGGCAGGCGGAAUUCGUCGUGUAGCGGUGAAAUGCUUAGAUAUGACGAAGAACUCCGAUCGCGAAGGCAGCCUGCCGGGCCGCGACUGACGCUGAAGCUCGAAGGUGCGGGUAUCGAACAGGAUUAGAUACCCUGGUAGUCCGCACAGUAAACGAUGGAUACUCGCUGUCGGCGAUAUACGGUCGGUGGCCAAGCGAAAGCGUUAAGUAUCCCACCUGGGGAGUACGCCGGCAACGGUGAAACUCAAAUGAAUUGGCGGGG